AAAAUACUAAACUCCAAAGAAAAGCUCUAUGGUAUUGCCUGAUUUCUUGAUGUCUAUGUUCUUCUCUUUCUCUUCCCUCUGGAAAUAUAGAUGCUUUGAAACAUCCUGUUCCAGUUGAUUCGAUUUCACGAAUAAAGUCUCUCGGUCCUGUUACAUCUGCUGUAUAAGUGACUGAUAACUUUUUGAGCUGCAGGGCACGAAUAAAGUCUCUAGGUCCUGUUAUAUCUGCCCUAUAAGCGACUGAUAACUUUUUGAGCUGCAGGUCAAAGUCUAUCUCUUGAACUCCUUGAAGUUCAAGAAGAGAAUUC
RNAcentral lists this long non-coding RNA (308 nucleotides) under Nicotiana benthamiana. RNAcentral describes it as "long non-coding RNA (NBEN_LNC019088)". The record is from RNAcentral. Lineage: Eukaryota; Viridiplantae; Streptophyta; Magnoliopsida; Solanales; Solanaceae.